This is a non-coding RNA of Pelobates cultripes (western spadefoot toad), 370 nucleotides long. NCBI's taxonomy places the organism in Eukaryota, Metazoa, Chordata, Amphibia, Anura, Pelobatidae. The record is from the annotation of a GenBank genome assembly.
AUAAAUAGGACAAUUACAAUAAAACUUACAGGAACGAUAGGUUGAAGAGGGUCCUGCUCAAACAAGUUUACAGUCUAUAGGAGGUGGGGUAUAAAACACAAUAGGACAGGAAAUAGCAAUCAAAUAAAGGUGGGAGUGAAGCAGAGCUGGAGGAGAGCGUAAAGUGCUGCCCUUUAGGAGAGAGCAAGAGACCGGUAUGUGAGGUAGAGCUUACUCUGGGAGGCCAUAAGCUUUCCUAAAAAGAUGGGUUUUAAGGUGCUUCUUAAACGAUUGAAGACUAGAGGAGAGUCUGAUGGGAGAAGGCAGGCUUUUCCAUAGGAAAAGUCCUGCAAGCGUGAGUUAGCCGUACGGGUGCAAGCAGCGGACAGGA